GGAAUCUUGCACAAUGGAGGAAACUCUGAUGCAGCGACGCCGCGUGAGCGAUGAAGCCCUUCGGGGUGUAAAGCUCUUUCGACGGGAACGAUAAUGACGGUACCCGGAGAAGAAGCUGCGGCUAACUACGUGCCAGCAGCCGCGGUAAUACGUAGGCAGCAAGCGUUGUUCGGAAUUACUGGGCGUAAAUAGUGUGUAGGCGGUUCUCUAUGUUCGGUGUGAAAUCUCCCGGCUUAACUGGGAGGGUGCGCCGAAAACUGGAGGGCUUGAGUAUGGGAGAGGAAAGCGGAAUUCCUGGUGUAGCGGUGAAAUGCGUAGAUAUC
Molecule: ribosomal RNA, 323 nt
Filed under: uncultured bacterium
Lineage: Bacteria
Description: bacterial SSU rRNA
Rfam family: Bacterial small subunit ribosomal RNA
Source: RNAcentral